RNAcentral lists this unclassified non-coding RNA (179 nucleotides) under uncultured Geoglossum. RNAcentral's name for it is "sequence contains ITS2". The record is from RNAcentral. Lineage: Eukaryota; Fungi; Ascomycota; Geoglossomycetes; Geoglossales; Geoglossaceae.
UCAAACCUCAAGCCUUGCUUGGUAUUGGGUUUUCGUCUUCCCUGCCUGUGGAUUGUAUUGUAUACAAUAUACGGGUACUGGCGUACCUGAAAUUCAUUAGCGGUGUCUCAAUAGACUCAAGCGUAGCAGACUGACUCGCUUUGGAGAACUUUUGUGGGCACUGUCAAUAAAAUAGUUAA